This 1174-nucleotide long non-coding RNA is filed under the name Piliocolobus tephrosceles (Ugandan red Colobus). Its description in RNAcentral is "lncRNA (ENSPTEG00000009919.1)". Lineage: Eukaryota; Metazoa; Chordata; Mammalia; Primates; Cercopithecidae. The record is from RNAcentral.
AAAACGCAACAAAACGUAGAUCGUUCCAAUAUAAAACAUAAUAUAGCUCCUAAAAAUCAACAACAUACGAAAAAUAUAAAUUCUGUAAAAAAUACAACAAGCAAUAGUUUAUUAGUGGAGAAAGUAAAAGAACCGAACAGCUCAAAUUAUGAACAUGAUGCGGAAAAAAUGAACGAAAAAUAUGUAAUAAAACAUACAGAUGAGUGUAGUGACUUGUCAAUGGAAGAAGAAGCGUCUAUUUCUGAUGCCACUACAUCUAUUAAAAUGGAGAAAACAGAAAAUACAAUCGAGUCAACGACUGAAGUGAGUGAUAGUACUAUUAGUAGAGAAACAACGGAAGAAGAGGGUGUGAAAGUAAAAGGAAUACAAUUACCACGUACUAUAAAUAUCAUGAAGUCAAAUAAACCUACAUCAUCAUCUAAAGAAAUGAAUACACAAAAAGGAUUGGUGAAUAAAAUUGGUAAAAGAGGUUUUGGUUCUUAUAAAGCUGAUAGUACUAACAAAACGAAUAUUACUAGUAAUAACAAUAAUAACAUAAAAGAUGCAUCCCAAAUAAAAAAUAAAUACAGUUCAAAUGCGACACAGUCAUUUAGAUUGAACAAGAUAAAACAUAAUAAUAACGGCACUGACAACAACCAUAGUGGUAAUAAUAUUAGUAGAAAUAAUACCAUUGGUAAUAAUACUAAUAGCAACAAUAAUGAUAGAUUUAAUAAUAAAGAAAAAGGGAAGUUGCUCACAAAAAGGAGUGAAAUCAGUAGUAACAGUUUUGUAUUUAACAAAAAUAAAAAUAUGUUACAAAAAGAUGCGAUAAAUAAAACUAAAGUCGUUAAUUCACUUACACAAAAAUGUAUUAAUAGUAGCAGCUAUAGCAACGAUGUAACCAAUGCAAAAAUAAAUACAGCAUAUAAAAGAACAUAUACACAAUUAAAUAUGAAUAUAAAAGGGAAAAUAUUCAAUAAAGAAAAAAAUAGUAACUUAGAUGAUAGAAAGAAAAAUAUAAAUAAUAGUAAUAGUAGUAGUAAUAAUAAUAAUAAUAAUAUCAAUAGCAAUAAUAUCAAUAGUAAUAACAUGAACAAUAAAAGCAAUGAUAGCAAUAAUAUUAGUAGUAAUUAUAAAUUUAACAUGAUUACCAAAUAUAAACAAAACGAUAAGGAUAUAAUUAGUGAAGAAAUGG